AAAACGACUCUCGGCAACGGAUAUCUAGGCUCUCGCAUCGAUGAAGAACGUAGCGAAAUGCGAUACUUGGUGUGAAUUGCAGAAUCCCGCGAAUCAUCGAGUUUUUGAACGCAAGUUGCGCCCGAAGCCAUUCGGCCGAGGACACGUCUGCCUGGGUGUCACGC
RNAcentral lists this ribosomal RNA (164 nucleotides) under Quercus dalechampii. RNAcentral describes it as "5.8S ribosomal RNA". It matches the Rfam family "5.8S ribosomal RNA". Rfam says of the family: 5.8S ribosomal RNA (5.8S rRNA) is a component of the large subunit of the eukaryotic ribosome. The record is from RNAcentral. Lineage: Eukaryota; Viridiplantae; Streptophyta; Magnoliopsida; Fagales; Fagaceae. RNAcentral also lists the same sequence under 1 other name.